UUGUAAAUGGAUUCAGGAAACCCUUUGGUUUCUAAAGGAAGGAUCAGACAGCAAAAUAAUCUGUUUUAUCAAGCAACAGUGAAAAGUUGAAGUGACAAGAAUAUCAAAGAUUCAUAAUUCAGAAACCAGAACUGUGUCCAUGCAAUUGGAUAUCUUCAGUGAGGCUAAUACUGUUGAGGUGAUCCUGAACAAAAUGCCCUACAGAUUGUUUACACAUUUACCUACACACAUAAACGCAUUCGGGGCAUACCA
Python bivittatus (Burmese python) is the source of this 252-nucleotide non-coding RNA. Lineage: Eukaryota; Metazoa; Chordata; Lepidosauria; Squamata; Pythonidae. The record is from RefSeq and is a predicted model, not a curated record.